GUGGGGAAUCUUAGACAAUGGGGGAACCCUGAUCUAGCCAUGCCGCGUGAUCGAUGAAGGCCUUAGGGUUGUAAAGAUCUUUCAGGUGGGAAGAUAAUGACUGUACCACCAGAAGAAGCCCCGGCUAACUCCGUGCCAGCAGCCGCGGUAAUACGGAGGGGGCUAGCGUUGUUCGGAAUUACUGGGCGUAAAGCGCACGUAGGCGGAUUGGAAAGUUGGGGGUGAAAUCCCGGGGCUCAACCCCGGAACUGCCUUCAAAACUCCCAGUCUUGAGUUCGAGAGAGGUGAGUGGAAUUCCGAGUGUAGAGGUGAAAUUCGUAGAUAUUCGGAGGAACACCAGUGGCGAAGGCGGCUCACUGGCUCGAUACUGACGCUGAGGUGCGAAAGCGUGGGGAGCAAACAGGAUUAGAAACCCGAGUAGUCC
RNAcentral lists this ribosomal RNA (424 nucleotides) under uncultured bacterium. RNAcentral describes it as "partial 16S ribosomal RNA". It matches the Rfam family "Bacterial small subunit ribosomal RNA", at positions 354 to 796 of the family's 1533-position model. The record is from RNAcentral.